Cyanistes caeruleus (blue tit) is the source of this 282-nucleotide non-coding RNA. NCBI's taxonomy places the organism in Eukaryota, Metazoa, Chordata, Aves, Passeriformes, Paridae. The record is from RefSeq and is a predicted model, not a curated record.
AGAGGCUCUGCUCCUGACACAGGCCCUCAGCCAGCGGGUGCCUGGGGAUGUUCAGAGACCAUGAAACCAUCCUGCAUGACUUGCUGCCAUUAGGAGCCUCUCAUGAAGCACUUCUUGCUAGAUUCAGUACUGACAUUGAGAGAAGAUUCAAACCCCAGAAGCUGUCACAGAGUUGUGUUUGGAACUGAUGUGUCCUGAAUGUUCAGUGUAAUUCCCUCUGGUUAAGGGACUGCUUGAGCUGAUGAGAGCAUUUAUCUGCAAGAGAGGGCAGCCAGCUUUCUG